This 460-nucleotide ribosomal RNA is filed under the name uncultured bacterium. RNAcentral's name for it is "partial 16S ribosomal RNA". It matches the Rfam family "Bacterial small subunit ribosomal RNA", at positions 338 to 795 of the family's 1533-position model. The record is from RNAcentral.
CCUACGGGUGGCAGCAGUGAGGAAUAUUGGUCAAUGGGCGGGAGCCUGAACCAGCCAAGUCGCGUGAGGGAAGACGGUCCUAUGGAUUGUAAACCUCUUUAGGCGGGGAGCAAUGCCGGGCACGCGUGCCCGGAGGGAGAGUACCCGCAGAAUAAGCCUCGGCUAACUCCGUGCCAGCAGCCGCGGUAAUACGGAGGAUGCGAGGGUUAUCCGGAUUCAUUGGGGUUAAGGGGUGCGUAGGCGGAUUUUUAAGUCAGCGGUAAGAUGUGCGGGCUCAACCCGGGCCGGCCGUUGAAACUGGGGAGCUGGAGUGGGCGAGAAGUAUGCGGAAUGCGUGGUGUAGCGGUGAAAUGCUUAGAUAUCACGAAGAACUCCGAUUGCGAAGGCAGCUCGCUGGACUGCAACUGACACUGAGGCUCGAAAGUGUGGGUAUCAAACAGGAUUAGAUACCCCUGUAGUC